Molecule: long non-coding RNA, 2267 nt
Filed under: Olea europaea subsp. europaea
Lineage: Eukaryota; Viridiplantae; Streptophyta; Magnoliopsida; Lamiales; Oleaceae
Source: RNAcentral
GUGGUAAUUUAAAAUAUGUGGGCCGAAAAUAAAUCCUAAUUAGAAUUUUAGUCGUAAUGGGACGGCUCAAUUAUUUCCUAUAUAAAGGCUAGAUCCCCUCUCCUCUCGAUAUAUAUUUCAUUAGCUAGCCCCAUUGAUAGCUAAUACUUUUGUGAAAAGCAAGGAGAGGAAAAUUUUGACUGCUAAUAUAACAAUUAUUCAUAUCAACAAUGACUUCCACAGAUAUGAAUUCGUUUUAUUAAUUUAUUAUGUGGUGAUUCUUGAUUCUUGGCAUGAUUACAAAUAAAUAUUAUCAUAACGUUAACAGUGAAAGUGGGAUACAGAAUGUUAAAGUAGACUUUUAUGAUAGAUAAUUUCUCGUUGCUAUGAAAGAUUGGGGGAAAUGGUCAUGGUUAGUUGUUGAAUAAUGGCUGCGAGCCUCCGAUUUGUAAUUGGUGGAAGAAGAUAAUUUUUUUUAAUGGUUUAUUAGAUAGCUGCUUUACAAAUAGAGGAUUAUUAUUCAGAGACGGCUGGAUUUUAUUGUAUAUAUUUUUGUGAAUUCUUAUUAAAGAAGCAAAAAUGAUUUGCAUUGACUAUUUGUCAUCUCCAUUGGCAUUGCAAGAAAGGAAUACAAUUGUACUCAGAACUCAUUCAUUAACAGACCCUAAUUUUUCUUCAGAGUUGUACAGUGUAGAGUAGAGUACUCGCAGCAGAUAUCAAUUAUGUUCAGCAAUUGUCUGACCCUUAGACAAUAUUUUAUACUCGUGGCAAUUUCCAAUGGUUGAAUUGUUUUCUGUUAUAACGCAUUACAUCUGUUGCUAAAAUACUGUUGUCUAUGUUAAUUUCAAUUCAUGUAAUUCGUAGUUGACCCGGCAAAAAGGUCAGACCCAAAGGCUCAGGCCUUGAAAGCUGCCAAGGCCGUGAAAUCAGCUUCGACAACGUUUAGAAGAAGUCAAAGAGGAUUAUUUCACUGACCGAAAACAUUGAAGAAGGAUAGGAAUCCCAAGUUUCCUCGCAUUAGAGCUCCUUCUAGGAACAAGCUUGAUCAUUACCAGAUUCUGAAAUAUCCACUCACCACUGAAUCUGCGAAGAAGAAGAUAGAAGACAACAAUACCCUUGUUUUCAUUCGUGCUGACAAGAAGAAAAUAAAGGAUUCAGUCAAGAAAAUGUAUGACACCAGACAAAAAUAAAAAAAAGUGAACACUCUGAUCAGGUAAAGAAGAACUGCUUGCUCAUUUACUCUGCGCUCAUUAUUGUUUUGCUUCAACUAAUUUAAUUUCACUGACUAAUGAAGAUAUUGUUAUUCUCCCAUUAUUCUUUUUGUUCGUUUGUUUAAUUCUUGCCUUCGCAAGUUCUCGUGUUCUGUUGUGCUUGGAUGCCAGUUUUAGAAAUUUUACUCAUUUGCAUUAAAGAAUUGAUGUUGGCAGCCUUCUAUGUUGAAAUGCUUUAUUUUGGAAAGAAUGAUAUUUUGUGAAUGUUACCGUAGUAUGACUCACCCAAUCAUCUUAUCAUAUUACUGCUUAGCAUAUUUAAAAAUCUCUUUGCUGUGAAUGGUCAGCUAUGUUAGGCCCUUCUAUGCUAGUAGUCGUGAUUAUAAUCUUACUUUUGGAAAUUAUAGCAUGCCAGAUGACACUUGUGUUCGAUUUGUUCAUGUAAUCUGUUUUAGGUUCUCAACAAGUAAUAGUUUCUUCUCUCGGUUACAAGUCACUCGCCCUCUUAUUAUUGCAGAAAUUUAAUACGCUGUCAUUUAUUUUUCUCCCGCUUCAGGCCAGACGAGACUAAGAAGGCUUAUGUUCGUUUGACGCCUGACUUUGAUGCUUUGGAUGUUGCAAACGAGAUUGGAAUCAAAUAAGUACCUGGCUCUCGAGGUUUGAAUUUGUGAUUUUUUUGGUAGAAUCUACCAGCGGCACUUGGAUUAUGUAAACAACCGUGCUACUUGGCCAGGGCCUUGGUUUUUCAGGGACAUGUGUCCCUCAUUGGCAGGGAGUCUGUCAAGUAGAAUAAUUCUUACAACCGAGCUACAGGAACCAUGGGAGUGAUUGUGGGGAUGACUGCGCGCGCGCACACACACACGGGUUUGAGACUUUUUAAUUCACGCGGGAUCCACUCGUCCCAUGUGAGGGCACGAUCAUCCACGUGGUCAUCGGUGUGGAUCGUUUAGCUUUAUUCUAAUUUUUAUGUAAAACUUGGUUGUGGUGAAACUUCUUUCAUUUCAUCUAAACGUUUGAUAUUCCAAAUACUGUAAUGAAUAAGUUGAACAUUAUAUUUAAUUCUACCUUUAAUUGAAC